GGAAAGCGGUCGCGGUAUGGGAUGGGGUCGCGUCCUAUCAGCUUGACGGCGGGGUAACGGCCCACCGUGGCUUCGACGGGUAGCCGGCCUGAGAGGGCGACCGGCCACAUUGGGACUGAGAUACGGCCCAGACUCCUACGGGAGGCAGCAGUGGGGAAUAUUGCACAAUGGGCGCAAGCCUGAUGCAGCGACGCCGCGUGAGGGAUGGAGGCCUUCGGGUUGUAAACCUCUUUUAUCGGGGAGCAAGCGAGAGUGAGUUUACCCGUUGAAUAAGCACCGGCUAACUACGUGCCAGCAGCCGCGGUAAUACGUAGGGUGCAAGCGUUAUCCGGAAUUAUUGGGCGUAAAGGGCUCGUAGGCGGUUCGUCGCGUCCGGUGUGAAAGUCCAUCGCUUAACGGUGGAUCCGCGCCGGGUACGGGCGGG
Molecule: ribosomal RNA, 424 nt
Filed under: uncultured Bifidobacterium sp.
Lineage: Bacteria; Bacillati; Actinomycetota; Actinomycetes; Bifidobacteriales; Bifidobacteriaceae
Description: bacterial SSU rRNA
Rfam family: Bacterial small subunit ribosomal RNA
Source: RNAcentral